GAAGAAAGAGGGAGGUGUGAUUAACACAUGCAAGUCGAACGGAAAGGCCCUGCUUUUGUGGGGUGCUCGAGUGGCGAACGGGUGAGUAACACGUGAGUAACCUGCCCUUGACUUUGGGAUAACUUCAGGAAACUGGGGCUAAUACCGGAUAGGAGCUCCUGCUGCAUGGUGGGGGUUGGAAAGUUUCGGCGGUUGGGGAUGGACUCGCGGCUUAUCAGCUUGUUGGUGGGGUAGUGGCUUACCAAGGCUUUGACGGGUAGCCGGCCUGAGAGGGUGACCGGCCACAUUGGGACUGAGAUACGGCCCAGACUCCUACGGGAGGCAGCAGUGGGGAAUAUUGCACAAUGGGCGGAAGCCUGAUGCAGCAACGCCGCGUGCGGGAUGACGGCCUUCGGGUUGUAAACCGCUUUCGCCUGUGACGAAGCGUGAGUGACGGUAAUGGGUAAAGAAGCACCGGCUAACUACGUG
RNAcentral lists this ribosomal RNA (468 nucleotides) under uncultured bacterium. Its description in RNAcentral is "partial 16S ribosomal RNA". It matches the Rfam family "Bacterial small subunit ribosomal RNA", at positions 38 to 507 of the family's 1533-position model. The record is from RNAcentral.